This is a long non-coding RNA of Mercurialis annua (annual mercury), 2573 nucleotides long. RefSeq lists it as uncharacterized. NCBI's taxonomy places the organism in Eukaryota, Viridiplantae, Streptophyta, Magnoliopsida, Malpighiales, Euphorbiaceae. The record is from RefSeq and is a predicted model, not a curated record. The transcript is spliced from 2 exons.
UUAUAUGUUAUUCAUUUCUUCUAUUUACUGGCAUGCUUUCAAUCUUGAACACGCGUAAGUCCCACAUCGCUUGUUUACAGAGUUUUUUGCGUCUUUAUAUACAGAAGCGUGAACGAGCCAUAUCGUCCCUUCGGGGACAUCCGAUAAAAUUGGAACGAUACAGAGAAGAUUAGCAUGGCCCCUGCGCAAGGAUGACACGCAUAAAUCGAGAAAUGGUCCAAAUUUUUUUUUUCCCAAAAAAUUGUCCUACACGCCGGUCAAUUUCUCGCUUGAGACCUGCUCUUGAUCGGUAUCCACAUGUCGACGGCGGAGUCUAGCAGUUUCCACUUCCAUUUGGUCAAUUUCUCGCUUGAGACCUGCUCUUGAUCGGUAUCCACAUGUCGACGGCGGAGUCUAGCAGUUUCCACUUCCAUUUUGAGUGGCUCUAUUUGAUUUUAUCCAUCAAGCAAUCAAACAAACAGAUAGUGUGCAUCGCAAUUUCAGGCAAUUAAUCAAAUAGAUGGUGUGCAUCACAAUUUCAGGUGAUUUCCAACUAUUUUCAUUAAUAGCAUCUAACCAGCCGGGUGAACUUCACCGGGAGCUUCUUUUGUAGCAAUAGCCCGUUGAUCUAGUUGCCACCGAACCUUUUUUCCGGGUCCGAAACAACUUGGGCGAAAUACGGAAGUCAGGGGUAAGGGGAAGAGGUAGCUCCCCAGCUCACUCAAGAAUGGGACGGCAGUGGUCCGGCUAAGUGACUUUGUAACCUUAAUGUACUUCUUUUCGUACUCCUGGUCAUGGAUAGAUCACCCAGGUUUGGGGCUUUUGGUUUUUUUGCACCCUGUUUUGCAGCUAUUUAAAUAUAAGAAAUUAAAAUAGGGAGGCUAAACACCACCUUUGAUCAAUGUUCCGUAGCUGUAGAUUGGAUUGCCACAUGCGUUUUUUCCAAUGGCUUUCAUAUACGGGUUUAUUGAAAAAAGUAUUAUAGGGAAACUGAUAUGCCUGCCAAACAAUUCUUUGCUUCGUACAUACUUCCCUGGAUGGUUUAAACAUUAUUUAUCACUGUUCUUCUGUAAUAUGUUUUACAAAUGUGCAUGCUGCAUUUUCAUAUGCUAGCUCCCCAUGGCCCAUAGAAACAAUAAAGUUUGCAUUGUUCACUAUUUGUAGAUGUUUUGCAAAAGCUCUUUGCUUUAUAACUUUUUUGUCUUACCAUUUUCUUAGUAGUAUGAACUUGAUAAUUUACAAUCCUUGAUAAAGUAAUUUCUGGGAUUUUUUCUUUUUUGAAGAUAUUCUAUUAUAUAGUGUGACAUGUUCAUCUAAUUCUUUGUUUCUCGAAAUAUUGUGGAAAUACAUUGUUGGUCCCUCUUCUGGCAUUAUAUGUCUAUGUGGACUAUUUAUUUAUGUUAUCCGAAUGAUGUGUGUGCCUGUUGUCAACGCAAGACAAGAAGAUAUUAUUGGGAUUGGGAUGGUGACCUGUGUACUUGUUUUGUUUUGUUGUGUUAAUGCUUUGCUGCCUUUUAGAUUUUCUUAACUAGUUCACAAUUAACUUUGCAGCAUUAAUUGGUGCAAGUAUACCGCGUUUAGGCGAGGAUGACAUAUAUAUGAUCUUCAAAUUUAUCUCUGCUGCUGUUUGUGUGUGGAACUAUGUUGAACGGAAAGUUUUUGAGUCCUACGGCGAGUGUUUUGAUUCAAUUUUUCAAAAUGCUUUGAACUCUCUAUAUAUAACCUAUUCUUAUAGAAAAUAUGUCUCAGUGUUUCUCAUUUCAUUAUUUCUAUUUUCGUGCUACAUAGGUGUGGACUGUCUACUUUUUCCAUAAGAGAUAUCCGAAAGAGGGAAUAAUUUCGAGGAAGAGAAAGUCCCUUUAGCAUUUUAGAUUUCUUUCAUAUAUUUGUGACUGUCUAAUCAUCCAUUUCGUGACGAGUGAAACCAUUUUCAUAUAGGUGGAUACAUGCAAAAUCACACUUACAGUUAUUUGCCUCAUCAUUAUCGUUGUCCUUUUAGCCGUUGUCAAUUGUAGCUUGUACGCUGAUGUCUUUCAUUAUAGUGAUAAAAUAAUCGGCUGUAUCUAUGUCUGUGGCAUUCAUUUCGGAUAGAAAAUAUGUUUCUGAUUUGUGCCAACAGGUUUGUGCCACCUUGGAACCAUUGGAUUGAUUCAUAAAAUAAUUGGCUGAACCAUUGGAUUGAUUCAUACGAUAAUUGACUGAUUUUUCAUGGUUGGUUAUGUUUACUAUUCAACUGAUAGAGAUAGAAGAGAAGUUUUUUGCAGAGGUUCAUGAGGUUUUAGCUACAUACUCAUCAGCAGAAAUCACAGGUCGAAUGUUGAUAGUUGAUACGAGAAUUCACAGUGCAUAGCAAGAAUUCACAGUUCAUUUGAUCUUUGUACGUAAAACGGGGUUUGCUAUGGUGCGCAACGAGGCAUGCCUUUGCUUGAUGCAUUGCAGAAUUUUGAGGCUUGUUCAAUCAAGAACUAUAAUUUCAGGCAAAUUGUAUCUGUACUAAAUGUUUAUACCUUUUGGUGCUUGUUCAAUGAAGAGCUACAUUUUCAGGAAACAAUUAGAAAUUAAAAUUUUACUAGAAUGGAUUCAGAAUUUGGUUA